AUUGUAGGUGAUAUAUCUAUCUCCUCAUGCACAUGCAGUCGCUAUAAGUUGCCAUUUGGACCUGCUGGGGAAUAGCAAGAUCCAAAGAGUGAGAACCUGAUGAUACACCCAUCUUAAUCAGAAUCUUGUAGCCAACUACAUAAUUCAGACACUCAAUUACAAGGUAUAUCAGACACCUACAGAACUCAGUCAAAUAGAGUUUCUAGAAGUUCUGAAUCUUUUCGAGUACCACUCUGCUGAAAAUGAUGUUGCUAAUAUAUAAUUGAACGUGAUUCACUGUCAUCUGGGCUUGAAGUUUGAUCAACGGACUAUGAUUUAUGAUCUUCUAGUUGAUGAGGUGGCUUGUAUAUAUCAUGCUAAAAUGCUGCUCAACCAAAAAGUUGAAGCUUAUACGUAUCUCUAUGAAUUGAACAUUUGUUAUUUGACCAACUCUGCGCAGUAUUUUAGGAAGCCAGUGGGACAGUUGCCUCCACUGCCCCAUGCGACAUCCGCCGGUGGCAAUAUAGGAAAUGAAAAUCUGAUCACACGGCCACCAAAUUGUACAGGGA
RNAcentral lists this unclassified non-coding RNA (548 nucleotides) under Hevea brasiliensis (rubber tree). The record is from RNAcentral. Lineage: Eukaryota; Viridiplantae; Streptophyta; Magnoliopsida; Malpighiales; Euphorbiaceae.